CCCCUCUCAGGAACACACCUGGAGGGUUUCCAGUACUCUACCAGUCUCGACUACAGGAGGGAGAGUCAAGCAGAGGCAUAUCCAUUCCAAUCCUUGCUUGGGCAGUGGCUAGUGAAUGGAAAGCAAUCUGCAGCAAGU
Small nucleolar RNA from Tachyglossus aculeatus (Australian echidna), 138 nucleotides. Lineage: Eukaryota; Metazoa; Chordata; Mammalia; Monotremata; Tachyglossidae. The record is from RefSeq and is a predicted model, not a curated record.